This 634-nucleotide ribosomal RNA is filed under the name Shigella sonnei. RNAcentral's name for it is "bacterial SSU rRNA". It matches the Rfam family "Bacterial small subunit ribosomal RNA", at positions 892 to 1526 of the family's 1533-position model. Lineage: Bacteria; Pseudomonadati; Pseudomonadota; Gammaproteobacteria; Enterobacterales; Enterobacteriaceae. The record is from RNAcentral.
GGUUAAAACUCAAAUGAAUUGACGGGGGCCCGCACAAGCGGUGGAGCAUGUGGUUUAAUUCGAUGCAACGCGAAGAACCUUACCUGGUCUUGACAUCCACAGAACUUUCCAGAGAUGGAUUGGUGCCUUCGGGAACUGUGAGACAGGUGCUGCAUGGCUGUCGUCAGCUCGUGUUGUGAAAUGUUGGGUUAAGUCCCGCAACGAGCGCAACCCUUAUCCUUUGUUGCCAGCGGUCCGGCCGGGAACUCAAAGGAGACUGCCAGUGAUAAACUGGAGGAAGGUGGGGAUGACGUCAAGUCAUCAUGGCCCUUACGACCAGGGCUACACACGUGCUACAAUGGCGCAUACAAAGAGAAGCGACCUCGCGAGAGCAAGCGGACCUCAUAAAGUGCGUCGUAGUCCGGAUUGGAGUCUGCAACUCGACUCCAUGAAGUCGGAAUCGCUAGUAAUCGUGGAUCAGAAUGCCACGGUGAAUACGUUCCCGGGCCUUGUACACACCGCCCGUCACACCAUGGGAGUGGGUUGCAAAAGAAGUAGGUAGCUUAACCUUCGGGAGGGCGCUUACCACUUUGUGAUUCAUGACUGGGGUGAAGUCGUAACAAGGUAACCGUAGGGGAACCUGCGGUUGGAUCAC